Molecule: ribosomal RNA, 420 nt
Filed under: uncultured eukaryote
Lineage: Eukaryota
Description: SSU rRNA
Rfam family: Eukaryotic small subunit ribosomal RNA
Source: RNAcentral
CAAUAGCGUAUAUUUAAGUUGUUGCAGUUAAAAGCUCGUAGUUGGAUUUCGGAUGGGUUUGACCGGUCCGCCGUUUCGGUGUGCACUGGUCGUACCUAUCUUGCUGUCGGGGACGCGCUUCUGGCCUUAAUUGGCUGGGACGCGGAGUCGGCGAUGUUACUUUGAAAAAUUAGAGUGUUCAAAGCAGGCCUAAGCUCUGAAUACAUUAGCAUGGAAUAACGCUAUAGGACUCUGGUCUUAUUGCGUUGGUCUUCGAGACCGGAGUAAUGAUUAAGAGGGACAGUUGGGGGCAUUCGUAUUUCAUUGUCAGAGGUGAAAUUCUUGGAUUUAUGAAAGACGAACUUCUGCGAAAGCAUUUGCCAAGGAUGUUUUCAUUAAUCAAGAACGAAAGUUGGGGGCUCGAAGACGAUUAGAUACCGU